CCAACUGAAAGGUCACUCCACGCUGACAUUUACUGCAAGGCAACGUUCUAAACUUUACAAGUAUCAAGUCAUUUUACCCUUGCCCAAGAUGCUGAGGAAGAUCAGCUCCAUCACCCUAAAUCAACAGAACCAGCCAUUCCGCCUUUAGGGCCGUAUCCCACGGAAAUACCUGAACAAGUUGCUGACGGCAGGCUGCGUGCCUAUAAGAGUCACAGGCCAUGGACUUCUAUGCACCUGUCAAAAGGAGUAAAGUCGUGACCUCACGGUUCGUGGGUUGGUACCCCGUGUCAGGCUUUGCAAUGACAGCGUGG
This is a long non-coding RNA of Felis catus (domestic cat), 311 nucleotides long. RefSeq lists it as uncharacterized. The transcript is spliced from 3 exons. The record is from RefSeq and is a predicted model, not a curated record. Lineage: Eukaryota; Metazoa; Chordata; Mammalia; Carnivora; Felidae.